This 28-nucleotide non-coding RNA is filed under the name Cricetulus griseus (Chinese hamster). The record is from RNAcentral. Lineage: Eukaryota; Metazoa; Chordata; Mammalia; Rodentia; Cricetidae.
UAUCUGGGAUAGCAGUUGCUCUGAAGGA